This is a non-coding RNA of Triticum urartu, 3815 nucleotides long. The record is from RefSeq and is a predicted model, not a curated record. Lineage: Eukaryota; Viridiplantae; Streptophyta; Magnoliopsida; Poales; Poaceae.
GAUGUAAAGUUUCUUCAUGAGAGUAGGAAGCACAACGGUGAAGCACAUGCCUUAGCAAAGGCAGCUGCCUCCCUUAGCCCCGGGCGCCAUGUGUGGCUUGGCAUUUUGCCCGAUAUUAUCUGUAUUCCCAUGUGUUUGAACUGUUAAUAAAGGAUGCAGUUGCUCAAAAAAAAAGAAUAACUUUUGUCUCAAAAAGAAUUAACCUUUCUCCUCCAGCCAUUGCCGGCGGCGCCCCCAUCCGCGGCGAAGUCGCCGGUGAAGUUGGUCAUCUGGCCGCAGGGCAUUUCUGUCGCCAUAUCUGGCGCCCAGUACCACGUAUUUCUACCGCGCUCCAUCAGCAGCCGCGCCGCCCCUAAUCGCCGGCCUCUAGCGAGGGGAACCGCGUUGCCGUCUUCGGUUUGAUCCCCCUCAAUCCUCAUCGGUGGAGUAGGGACAAGCAUGGCAGGUCAAGGAUAAGGUUUGAGAUGAACCACAUGAAGCGUCAGGCAGGUCAAUAUAACCUCUAUAUUGCAAUUUACGCGAUGAUUUGGUGCAACGGCAUUGCAUUAUGUGGUGAGCCGAAAACCAAAAGGGAUUAAACAUGGCAUAGCUGAUGUAGUGAUGUCUAUAUGUCUUGCUGAUGUAGUGACGUAGUGAUCUCUGUAUGUCUUGGUAUAGUUGGACAUUUUCAUGGCUUGGGUUCAUGGUUGGCGGGUGGUGCGGAGAAAAAACCAAUCAUCAGGAGGCAUCAUUAUAGUUGACAAGUUUCCUUACCGAUUCUAGUCCUUGCCCUGUGAUUAUUUUGUCACGAAGCUUAUCUUGGUUAUCAAACCAUGGACCGUCAUCCGAGCUCCACCUACUCAGCAUUUCCAACACAACCGUGCGACAGCCGUAAACAUCUGACUUGAAAGAUAUUGUUCCGAAGUUCAGAAAUUAUUAUACUCCAUCCGUCUCCAAAUAAGUGUCGUUGAUAUAGUACAAAGUCGUACUAAUUUUGUACUAAAUCAGCGACACUUAUUUUGGGACGGAGGGAGUAGCAUUUAAAUAUUUUCUGAGCACGACGAGUUAAACAGUUGAAAGCCAUAUUUUCCAUCUUUUGAGGAAGCCGAGCCAUCUUUUUAGACAUAAGAACAGGAUGCAUAUCACUACCUCCUCUGCCCUCUGGUCAUUGUGCAGUUUUUCAUUCAAAAAGCUCUGAAUUUCAGCAGUCCCCACAAAAUGAGUCAUUUUUCUAGACAGAGGUUUCACUAUUGGAGAACUGUGUGCAAAGUCCAUUUUUUUGCCCUCUUCUGGAUUUUUUUCUGUUAUGUCUGUAUGAUGGCCGCUCCAUAUAAAACUGGAGUAUUACAUAGGAACUGUGAAGGAACAAAGAGAGCUUAGAGAUGAUUAAAGGAACUCCCUGCCUUUCCAAACUUAGUGGAUUAUUGUUAGUACAAAAAGCACUUGUUGAUACUAAACAUUUGGUGUUUAUUAGUGUCUCGAAGUCCCAAUUUGCUUUCAUACGGUGCAUCUCUCUGCUUUCUCCACACAUGUGGAAAAUUUCAAGUACAAUUACUAGAAACAGAUUUGCAAUGGGAGAAACUGGACAAAACAAUAAAAUUGACUUAUUCGUCUGUUGUAGAGGCUCAGAAGCUGCUUGGAAUCAGCUCAAGACCAAGACGUCUUUACUGACGAAAAUGUCUUAUUCACAAUGAUGGUUCUGCGGUUCCCGUGCAACAGAGAAGGAUGGCCAGAGCCUUGUUAUCUUGGGUUCUCUGGCCAAUAUGUAAAGAAUGCAAACUAGGCAUCUUAGUAUCUCUGGAGUGCUGAAGCACCAACAUUGACUUCACUGUUGAUCAAACCCUUGAAGUGCCUCCCUUGCUGGUGAAUACGGUUACAGGGCUGGGAUAGUGUUAGGUUUAGAAGAACCUCAUGGGGGAAAGCCCAGGAAAUAUGGAUCAAGAUCGAAGAUCUGUGUGGCACUGUGACCUUAAUCGAUGAAAAUGAUAUUUGUGUGUAGCUACUGGACAGAUCUAGGCAAUUUACAGUUAGGUUAUGAACUUUGCAAGCUAAAUUUUAAUCUGAGUUCCUCCUCCUACUCACAUCUUUGCAAGCUAAGAAUCUGAAUUCUUUGUAUUGAAAAUGUAGCAAAAUCCUUUCACAGUCAGUGGAAGGAAGAAUAAACAUCUCAUCAAUUAUCAACACUUUUUGGUUAUCUGGGAUGUUUAAGAAAGAGCAAAAAUUUAUCAAUGAGUGUACAUUUUACAGUUUUCUUGUAACGGCUUACAAUAGGUUUGAGCUACCUUUUCUCCUUUUGAGGAAAUCAAGCUGUACCUAAUGUCAUAAAAACCAAGUUUGACAUGCUGCAGAACAUAAAGGCACUUGCGGUAACUAACAUAUACCAACUGAUCGGUUUUUGUUAGUUAGUCCCUUGGACUGCCCAUUUACUUCUCUGCUUUAUUGGAGCAAUGAGAAUUUUACAACAUGUUAGUAAUUUUCAAUUUCAACCAUGAUUACUCAAAACAGAUUUGCGCUACAGGUGGAGCUCAAGAGCAAUACACGUGGAGCUCAACGGAAGCAAAUGAGCUCAAAGGAACAUUUUAAAAUUAUUGAACAUUUUUCAGCUGGAAUACAUUAAAAUCAGAGAAACAGCCGAAAUAAAAACAGAGCUGAAGAGCUACACAAAAAAUCUGGGUGCGACAAUCCGUGGGCUGCAUACUUGGCUGGGCUGUCCAUGCCCGCACGAGCCAGGGGCCUUGCUCCUCUUACCCUUCCUCCUCCGACGCUCAAAGAAAAAGAAAAGGGAAACCUUUCUCCUCCAACCAUUGCCGGCGGCGGCCCUAUCCGCGGCCGAGUCGCCGGUGAAGUGGGCCGUCUGGCCGCAGGGCAUUGCCGCGCCAUUCCUUGUGCCCAGUGUCACAUCUUUCUACCGCGCCCCAUCCAGCAGCCGCGCCGCCCCUAGUCGCUGGCCUCCAGAGAGGGGAACCGCGUUGCCGUCUUUGGUCUGAUCCCCUCAAUGGUCGUCGGCUGAGGGAGAAGCAUGGCAGGUCAAGGAUGAGGACGGUGAUGAACCACGCGAACAACAGGCGCAGGCGGUUCAAUAUCUAAUGGAGAAUUUUGGCCAGGCCUAAGAGGAUUACGUGUACACGAAGUUGGGUCGGAUCAUACUUUGGAUGCAUUUGGGUUGUACUGAAGAAGCUUAAUCUUCCAUUAGUUCCAUGCGCUUAACACACAUAUGUUCCUGGUUCCUAGCACAUGUUCAACUAUUGUAGAGUGGUGAGCUACCUCAUGUGACUUUGACUUGGAUGAACCAUGGGAGAAGAAGACGGAGAAGGAUUCAGGUGAAGAACAACUAGCUAAGCUACACGACAAGGAUAGGCUGUAUCUGGAGUGCAGAUAGGGCAUGUGGUUUCUGGAAGCUGCGGUACCUUCGGAGAGGCUUCGUGCAAAACGUUAAGCCCCUGCAAGACACUUUGAUACGGAGAGUCCAUUCUGUAUGAAGGGUACAUAUUGCCCAGUACAUCAGUACAUGUGGUGCCCUCUAGUUCAUACGAGAUCCUGCUUCAGACGAAACAGCUAAAUUCUUGAUACCUUCCAAUCCUACCAAAAGCAUGCAUAGUCCCAAAUACCAAUCAUCUCUAGCUAGUACAACAGAGUUUCACUUGCGAGCUUAUUUAUGUACCUUCAAAGCUUCAAAUGGAAGCCCUUCAUGUAUGCGCCUUUAGUGCGCCCAUUGCCAGUCGUAGUCGCAAGUGGAAUAGAUCGAGUGACUAGAGUCGUCCUUUCUCACCAACCAGCUGAUAACGUUUAUUUAUCGCGUGUCCAGACAUUACGUAAAAUUUAUGUGCAACUGCAUU